RNAcentral lists this ribosomal RNA (468 nucleotides) under uncultured bacterium. RNAcentral describes it as "partial 16S ribosomal RNA". It matches the Rfam family "Bacterial small subunit ribosomal RNA", at positions 28 to 507 of the family's 1533-position model. The record is from RNAcentral.
GACGAACGCUGGCGGCGUGCUUAACGCAUGCAAGUCGAACGGAAAGGCCCUGCUUUUGUGGGGUGCUCGAGUGGCGAACGGGUGAGUAACACGUGAGUAACCUGCCCUUGACUUUGGGAUAACUUCAGGAAACUGGGGCUAAUACCGGAUAGGAGCUCCUGCUGCAUGGUGGGGGUUGGAAAGUUUCGGCGGUUGGGGAUGGACUCGCGGCUUAUCAGCUUGUUGGUGGGGUAGUGGCUUACCAAGGCUUUGACGGGUAGCCGGCCUGAGAGGGUGACCGGCCACAUUGGGACUGAGAUACGGCCCAGACCCCUACGGGAGGCAGCAGUGGGGAAUAUUGCACAAUGGGCGGAAGCCUGAUGUAGCAACGCCGCGUGCGGGAUGACGGCCUUCGGGUUGUAAACCGCUUUCGCCUGUGACGAAGCGUGAGUGACGGUAAUGGGUAAAGAAGCACCGGCUAACUACGUG